This 239-nucleotide ribosomal RNA is filed under the name uncultured bacterium. RNAcentral's name for it is "partial 16S ribosomal RNA". It matches the Rfam family "Bacterial small subunit ribosomal RNA", at positions 100 to 334 of the family's 1533-position model. The record is from RNAcentral.
CCGGCCGGCACGGGUGAGUAACACGUAUCCAACCUGCCGUCUACUCUUGGACAGCCUUCUGAAGGAAGAUAAUACAAGAUGGCACCAUGAGUUCACAUGUUCACAUGAUUAAAGGUAUUCCGGUAGACGAUGGGGAUGCGUUCCAUUAGAUAGUAGGCGGGGUAACGGCCCACCUAGUCUUCGAUGGAUAGGGGUUCUGAGAGGAAGGUCCCCCACAUUGGAACUGAGACACGGUCCAA